GAUCAAAUUCGCCUCUUUGGACAUCAGGGGAUUGAAUUCCCCACAAAAGAGAAUAAUUUCUUUUUUUUUUUGUUACUUGAGAAAGGAAUAGUUACAUGUUGGUAUAGUCCAGGAGACUCACUGGUGGCCUAGAAAGGAAUAGUUACGUGUUGGUAUAGUCCAGGAGACGCACUGGCGGCCUAGAAAGGAAUAGUUACGUGUUGGUAUAGUCCAGGAGACUCACUGGCGGCCUAGAAAGGAAUAGUUACAUGUUGGUAUAGUCCAGGAGACUCACUGGUGGCCUAGAAAGGAAUAGUUACGUGUUGGUAUAGUCCAGGAGACUCACUGGCGGCCUAGAAAGGAAUAGUUACGUGUUGGUAUAGUCCAGGAGACUCACUGGCGGCCUAGAAAGGAAUAGUUACGUGUUGGUAUAGUCCAGGAGACUCACGGGUGGCCUAGAAAGGAAUAGAUACAUGUUGGUAUAGUCCAGGAGACUCACUGGCGGCCUAGAAAGGAAUAGUUACGUGUUGGUAUAGUCCAGGAGACUCACGGGUGGCCUAGAAAGGAAUAGAUACAUGUUGGUAUAGUCCAGGAGACUCACUGGCGGCCUAGAAAGGAAUAGUUACGUGUUGGUAUAGUCCAGGAGACUCACUGGCGGCCUAGAAAGGAAUAGUUACAUGUUGGUAUAGUCCAGGAGACUCACGGGUGGCCUAGAAAGGAAUAGUUACGUGUUGGUAUAGUCCAGGAGACUCACGGGUGGCCUAGAAAGGAAUAGAUACAUGUUGGUAUAGUCCAGGAGACGCACUGGCGGCCUAGAAAGGAAUAGAUACAUGUUGGUAUAGUACAGGAGACUCACUGGUGGCCUAGAAAGGAAUAGUUACGUGUUGGUAUAGUCCAGGAGACUCA
This is a non-coding RNA of Pelobates cultripes (western spadefoot toad), 885 nucleotides long. NCBI's taxonomy places the organism in Eukaryota, Metazoa, Chordata, Amphibia, Anura, Pelobatidae. The record is from the annotation of a GenBank genome assembly.